Molecule: unclassified non-coding RNA, 348 nt
Filed under: soil metagenome
Description: partial contains 5.8S ribosomal RNA, internal transcribed spacer 2, and large subunit ribosomal RNA
Rfam family: 5.8S ribosomal RNA (bases 1-120)
Source: RNAcentral
GAUGAAGAACGUAGCGAAAUGCGAUAAGUAAUGUGAAUUGCAGAAUUCAGUGAAUCAUCGAAUCUUUGAACGCACAUUGCGCCCGCCAGUAUUCUGGCGGGCAUGCCUGUCCGAGCGUCAUUUCAACCCUCGAACCCCUCCGGGGGGUCGGCGUUGGGGAUCGGCCCUUUACGGGGCCGGCCCCGAAAUACAGUGGCGGUCUCGCCGCAGCCUCUCCUGCGCAGUAGUUUGCACACUCGCAUCGGGAGCGCGGCGCGUCCACAGCCGUUAAACACCCCAAACUUCUGAAAUGUUGACCUCGGAUCAGGUAGGAAUACCCGCUGAACUUAAGCAUAUCAAUAAGCGGAA